Long non-coding RNA from Neofelis nebulosa (Clouded leopard), 1704 nucleotides. RefSeq lists it as uncharacterized. NCBI's taxonomy places the organism in Eukaryota, Metazoa, Chordata, Mammalia, Carnivora, Felidae. The transcript is spliced from 2 exons. The record is from RefSeq and is a predicted model, not a curated record.
ACUGAUGGAGGAAUGGGGCUCACUGGAGGGUGGCAUCAAGGGGCAGCCAUAUGGCUUUGGUCCAAAAUGUAAAUGAUUAUCAUCAUGACUCUGACGGUCAGCCAGGUGAAUGAUCCUGGCCCAGCUCAUGCUGACACUGAAGCAAAAGCCAUCUCUAAUAUAUAUGCCAUUUUUCAGUUCUAUAAGUGUUCAUAGGGGAGAACAAACAGGGACCCUAAAACAGACUUUGAUUUGUGCUGUUGGAGGAGCCUAGGGCUCCAGGAAUGGAGCCAGCAAGAAGCAGCUGACGUUCUCCUGGCUGCUCAGUGGAGGCAUCAAAACAUAGCUGUCUCCACCUGGAUGAAGGGGGUAGGAUCAAGAGAGAUUCCAGAGUGCAGCUACAGAGAUAUGUAAGUGACCAAGCCAGCAUUCCAGGCAAAGGAAACAACGUGGGAAGCCUAGAAGCAUGAAAAGCAAGGAGUUUGACGUGGGUAAGAUACAGGAUUGCAUGUAAGAAAAGACUGUGAGAUGACAAAAGAAAAAAUAAAUAGGGGAAAGGAGUUUGAUGUGGGUAGGAUACAGGAUUGCAUGUAAGAAAAAAUAGUGAGAUGACAGAGGAAAAAUAAAUAAGGACCAGAUCAUGAGGGGCCUUGACAUCCAUGUCAAUGAAUUUGCACUUCAUUCUGUGGAUAGUGGGGAGUGUCAAGCAUGAGGAGUUUCCCUUACUAGAAAGAUGUCAGAAGAUAAGAGGAUUGAUGAGAACUGGGUUAAGGUUGAAGGCAGAGAGAGAGAUUAAGAGAUUGUUUAAAUAGUCCCGGUGAAAGAUCAGAUCUGAAAGAAGGAAGUAGCAGCAGUGGGGAUGAUGAGGAAGGGGACAUAUCUGAGAGAUGUGAAGGAUGUAAAAUUGGUAGGACUUAGUCAUUAUGUAGAUCUGUGUGUUUGGGGAAGGAGCUGGGUACAUAUGGUUGAAGGAGCGGGAAACAAAGAACAAAUCUGGAUCUUUUCUCCCCUCUGUGGAAUGAGUUGGAAAACACGAAAGCAGUAAAAGCCAAUGGUGGAAGCAUAAAGCAGCACAGGGAUGAGACUACGUGAGAAGAUACUCAGCCCAGGUGGAUGAGAGUGAGAACAAAAGGGAUUCUCUAGUCUAAGGGCAACCCUUCUAGAUGGACAUUGGAUCCCCAUCCCCUUUACUGCUUGCUUAAGGACAUUGCUCCUGAAUUUGCCUGCUUUCAUCCUGCACCAACAGCUUUUCUCACCACAGUGAGUCUAGUCACCCUACGACAUUAUUACAGUAUUGUUGAUUGCAUUCCCUAUGCUGUACUCUUCAUCUCUGUGACUUAUUUAUUUUAUAGCUGGAAGGUUGUACCUCUUAAUCCCUUUCACCUAUUUUGCCCAUCCCCCCACCUCCCUCCCUUUUGGCAAUGAUUAGUUUGUUUUCUGUGUUUAAGGAUUUGUUUGUUUGUUUAGAUUCCAUAUAUAAGUGUAGUCAUGUGGUUUUUGUCUUUUUCUAUCUUAUUUCAUUUAGUAUAAUACCUUAUAGUUCAUCCCUGCUGUCAUAAAUGGCAAGAUCUCAGUCUUUUUUAUGGUUUAGUAAUACUCCACUGUGUAUUGGUAUAUGUGUGUGUACAUCUUCAUUAUCCAGUCAUCUGUUGAUAAACACUUAGGUUGCUUUUGUAUCUUGGCUAUUGUGAAUAAUGCUGCAAUAAACAUAGAAGUGCAUACUUC